AGUGAACGCUGGCGGUAGGCCUAACACAUGCAAGUCGAACGGCAACACAGUAAGAGCUUGCUCUUACGGGUGGCGAGUGGCGGACGGGUGAGGCAUACAUCGGAAUCUACUUUUUCGGGGGGGAUAACGUAGGGAAACUUACGCUACUACCGCAUACGACCUACGGGUUAAAGCAGGGGAUCUUCGGACCUUGCGCGAUUGAAUGAGCCGAUGUCGGAUUAGCUAGGUGGCGGGGUAAAGGCCCAACAAGGCGACGCUACGUAGCUGGUCUGAGCGGAUGAUCCGCCACACUGGAAAUGAGACACGGGCCAGACUCCCAAGGGAGGGAGGAGGAGGGAAAAUUCGGAAAUGGGCGAAAGCCUGACGCAGCCAAGCCGCGGGGGGGAAGAAAGGCUUCGGAUUUUAAAACCCUUUUUUUAGGGAAGAAAAAAUGUGUGAGUAACUCCCCGCGUUUUGACGGUACCCAAAAAGAAAGCCACGGCUAACUUCGUG
This 492-nucleotide ribosomal RNA is filed under the name uncultured bacterium. RNAcentral describes it as "partial 16S ribosomal RNA". It matches the Rfam family "Bacterial small subunit ribosomal RNA", at positions 29 to 507 of the family's 1533-position model. The record is from RNAcentral.